AACGAACGCUGGCGGCAUGCCUAACACAUGCCAGUCGAACGAGACCUUCGGGUCUAGUGGCGCACGGGUGCGUAACGCGUGGGAACCUGCCCUUAGGUUCGGAAUAACUCCCCGAAAGGGGUGCUAAUACCGGAUAAUGUCUUCGGACCAAAGAUUUAUCGCCUUUGGAUGGGCCCGCGUUGGAUUAGCUAGUUGGUAGGGUAAAAGCCUACCAAGGCGACGAUCCAUAGCUGGUCUGAGAGGAUGAUCAGCCACACUGGGACUGAGAUACGGCCCAGACUCCUACGGGAGGCAGCAGUGGGGAAUAUUGGACAAUGGGCGAAAGCCUGAUCCAGCAAUGCCGCGUGAGUGAUGAAGGCCUUAGGGUUGUAAAGCUCUUUUACCCGGGAUGAUAAUGACAGUACCGGGAGAAUAAGCGCCGGCUAACUCCGUG
Molecule: ribosomal RNA, 433 nt
Filed under: uncultured bacterium
Lineage: Bacteria
Description: partial 16S ribosomal RNA
Rfam family: Bacterial small subunit ribosomal RNA
Source: RNAcentral